UUUCCCGUAAGGCGCCGAAUUGAGUCAUUAAAAAAUUAACAUCAUCCGAUCCCUAGUCGGCAUAGUUUAUGGUUAAGACUACGACGGUAUCUGAUCGUCUUCGAUCCCCUAACUUUCGUUCUUGAUUAAUGAAAACAUCCUUGGCAAAUGCUUUCGCAGUAGUUAGUCUUCAAUAAAUCCAAGAAUUUCACCUCUGACAAUUGAAUACUAAUGCCCCCAACUAUCCCUAUUAAUCAUUACGUCAAUCCUAGAAACCAACAAAAUAGGAUCAAACGUCCUAUUUCAUUAUCCCAUGCUAAUGUAUUCAAGCGUUAGCUUGCUUUAAACACUCUAAUUUUUUCAAAGUAACAGUCCUGUGUCCCUGCAACACCAAAUUAAUGGCAUUACAGUUCUUCAGAAAGGAGAGACCAGCGAAGCCAGUUCAUACCAUAGGCACGACCAACCUGCUGACCCCGAAAUUCAACUACGAGGCUUUUUAACUGCAACAACUUUAAUAUACGCUAUUGGAGCUGGAAUUACCGCGGCUGCUGGCACCAGACUUGCCCUCCCAA
This 551-nucleotide ribosomal RNA is filed under the name uncultured Glomus. RNAcentral's name for it is "partial 18S ribosomal RNA". The record is from RNAcentral. Lineage: Eukaryota; Fungi; Glomeromycota; Glomeromycetes; Glomerales; Glomeraceae.